UCCUGGUUGGCGCAAUUAGUAGAACACUCUACUGGAAAUGGAGGGGUCCCUGGUUCGAUACCAGGACCAGGCG
This 73-nucleotide transfer RNA is filed under the name Ixodes scapularis (black-legged tick). RNAcentral describes it as "tRNA-Ser for anticodon GGA". It matches the Rfam family "tRNA". From Rfam's summary of the family: Transfer RNA (tRNA) molecules are approximately 80 nucleotides in length. Lineage: Eukaryota; Metazoa; Arthropoda; Arachnida; Ixodida; Ixodidae. The record is from RNAcentral.